Molecule: transfer RNA, 71 nt
Filed under: Phrynosoma platyrhinos (Desert horned lizard)
Lineage: Eukaryota; Metazoa; Chordata; Lepidosauria; Squamata; Phrynosomatidae
Description: tRNA-OTHER
Source: RNAcentral
GCCAGUGUGGCAUAGUGGUUUGACUGUUGGACUACAACUCUGGAGCUAGGGUUCAAUUCCCUGCUCAGCCA